AUGGCUUCAGCUUUGGAGGAGCUACAGAAAGACCUAGAAGAGAUAAAGGUGCUGCUGGAAAAGUCCACUAGCAAAAAAGUGUGUGAUAUGCUUACAGCUGAAAAAUCCAAGAUCAUGGCUGAAAUAAAGAACAAGAUGCAACAGAAAUCACAGAAGAAACCAGAACUUGACAAUGAAAAGCCAUCUGCUGUGGUUACUCCCAUUACAACAGGAUACACAGUGAAAAUCAAUAAUUAUGGAUGGGAUCAGUCAGAUAAGUUUAUGAAAAUCUACAUUACCUUAACUGGAGUUCAUCCAGUUCCCCCUGAGAAUGUGCAGGUGCAUUUCACAGAGAGGUCAUUUGAUCUUUUGGUAAAGUAUCUAAAUGGGAAGAGUUACUCCAUGAUCGUGAACAAUCUCUUGAAACACAUUUCUGUGGAUGGCAGUUCAAAAAAAGUGAAAACUGAUACAGUUCUUAUCUUAUGUAGAAAGAAAGUAGAAAACACACAGUGGGACUACUUGACUCAAGUUGAAAAAGACUGCAGAGAGAAAGAAAAGCCUUCCUAUGACACUGAAGCAGAUCCUAGUGAGGAAUUAAUGAAUGUUUUAAAGAAAAUUUAUGAAGAUGGAGAUGAUGACAUGAAACUAACUAUUAAUAAAGCCUGGGUGGAAUCAAGAGAGAAGCAAGCCAAAGGAGAGACAGAAUUUUGAGUGAC
Molecule: non-coding RNA, 695 nt
Organism: Castor canadensis (American beaver)
Lineage: Eukaryota; Metazoa; Chordata; Mammalia; Rodentia; Castoridae
Source: RefSeq, a predicted model, not a curated record